RNAcentral lists this ribosomal RNA (108 nucleotides) under Spirochaetaceae bacterium. The record is from RNAcentral. Lineage: Bacteria; Pseudomonadati; Spirochaetota; Spirochaetia; Spirochaetales; Spirochaetaceae.
UGCGGCGACCAUAUUGAAUUGGCCACACCUGUUCCCUUCCCGAACACAGUAGUUAAGCAAUUCAAGCCGAUGAUAGUACUGCAAGUGCGAAAGUAGGUAUUGCCGCUU